This 596-nucleotide long non-coding RNA is filed under the name Cricetulus griseus (Chinese hamster). RNAcentral describes it as "lncRNA (ENSCGRG00015031802.1)". Lineage: Eukaryota; Metazoa; Chordata; Mammalia; Rodentia; Cricetidae. The record is from RNAcentral.
CGCGCGGGACAUAUGGUGCCGAAACCCGGGAACAUGUGAACAUCUCUGGCACCGCGGAGACCCCUUGGCUACAAGGCGGAUUCAGAACUGCAGGGUGGUAAAUUCGGAGAGGAUGAAGAAAAUCCUCUGUGGAUCCCAGAAAGACUCACCCGAAGAGCCUCUUCGGACCUUCAAAAGUCGGAACUCCACCCUCUCCCCGGGAGCUGAGAGCCGCUAUUGUUAUCCAGAUUAACUCCUGUCCUUGGCGGAGAGAUGGCCACUGCUUAAGGGGUGGGGGUGGGAUUGUUUGAUGCAGCCUUUUGCGGAUUGCUGUUACCUCUGGCUGAUCUAUGAGAAAGAGGUGGGGGUGGAAUUGUUUGAUGCAGCCGUUUGCGGAUUGAUGUUACUUUUGGCUGGCAUGUAAGCUCCAGGGCUCAAACCAAGAGACCGCCCAAGCGCUUAUAUUUUGGCUAACUAUGCUUAAGCAAUAGGCCGCCGGCCAGACAGCUCUUGCACACCCGGAGCCUAGGCUCAUUGCACAGGGUAGAGUGUCUGGUUUGGGCAGCCCAAUGAGGGAUGCUGAGCAAAGGCAUCGCACAGAGUUGCCUAUUAUGCAG